Long non-coding RNA from Salvelinus namaycush (lake trout), 1668 nucleotides. RefSeq lists it as uncharacterized. The record is from RefSeq and is a predicted model, not a curated record. Lineage: Eukaryota; Metazoa; Chordata; Actinopteri; Salmoniformes; Salmonidae. The transcript has 2 exons.
AGUAACGGAGGACUGGACCCGUGGUCAAGUGGUGGGGUGACCCGAAACAUCUCGGACUCGGUGGUCGCCAUAGUGAUACCUGACGGGGCUCACCACCUGGAUCUACGCUACAACAACGAGUAUGACCCUCACACCGUCCUCUCAGCCCGCGCCCUGGAGGUGGAAUACUUCAAACUGUGGAUCAAACAGGCCAGGAAACUACAAAUACCAGGUUAAAUCACUCUGAACUACAACUGCCAGGCUAAAUCACUCUGAACUACAACUACCAGGUUAAAUCACUCUGAACUACAACUACCAGGCUAAAUCACUCUGAACUACAACUACCAGGUUAAAUCACUCUGAACUACAACUACCAAGCUAAAUCACUCUGAACUACAACUACCAAGCUAAAUCACUCUGGAUUACAACUCCCAUGCUAAGUCACUCUGAACUACAACUCCCAGGUAAAAGCACUCUGAACUACAAUUACUAAAUCAAACAGAACUAAAACUGCCAGACUAAAUCACUCUGAACUUAAACACCCAGGGUCGGCCUAAAAUGUCACCCUAUUCCCUAUAUAGUGCACUACUUUUAUCCAGGACCCCUAGGACUCUGGUCAGAAGUAAGGCACUAGAUGCAACCCCAGCCUCUCAAACUACCUGAAGCUAAAAGACCAUAGCAUAUAACAUGUGGCUUUGUUGCAAUGCCCUCUCUAGCAUACUACUAAGAAGGGAGCAAUGUAAUUGGACGUGUAUUCUAAGUGAUAUGCUAGUGUGGAUAUUGAAACUAAGCCAAUGUUUGCAUCCCAAAAGUUACCCUAUUCCCUAUUAUAGUGCACUACUUUUGACCACAGCCCAUAUGGACCCUGUUUAAAAAGGAGUUCACUAUGUAGGGAAUAGGGUGCCAUAUAAUACAAAACAUUCUCUACCACCAGAAUGUACUGAUGGAUUUUCAGUUGAAUAUUGUUUUCAGAUGUGAUGAGUUUAAGGAAGAACUACUUACACUAAUAAAUCAGGUUUAGUUAAGUAGCUAUUUCAAUGUUGAUUUAUUGAUUUCAAUGAUUGGUUAUAGUGUUUUCUGUUUCGUGCCAAAGUCUUUUAUUUUUUAUUUUUUACGAGUGUCAGAAAGGGCUAGAAUAUCAAAUUUUAAAAAACGAAAGAAAUAUUUUCUUAAUUUGAAAAUUAAAGACAUUUUCACAUUAACACCAGAUUUAAAUAAUUAAGUUACGGUGUUUAUGUUUUGUGUUUAAUUGAAGUUUGAUAGCUUACACAUACUGUAUAUCAGAACAACAAUUGUGUUUAAUUGUAUAAUUAGUACAGAAAAUAUUUAUUUAACAGCUCUCAGGAAAAAAAGUAUGCUUUUUUUGUAAGUGUUUACAAUUCUUUGUAAUUAACCAUUUCUGUUAAACUAGAAUUAGCAUUAGUCAGUGAUUCUAAAGGUUUUUCCAAACAAUUGAUAACAUUCACUUGUAGUUGACAGUUUUUAUACUACGGCCUGAGUUGUAUUUGGUCCAGAAAUGGACCCAUAUUUAACAACGGCAGCAGAAGGGCUGGACCCAGUCUCUCAAUGUCGUGUUACCAUGUUUCAUUGACUUUAUUAAUGGCUGUGGCUGUUAAGCAAUAUCCCUUUAAUGUCUUACUGCUAUUGCCAUUGUGUUGUGCCCAGAUUAAAAGCAAUUUUAAUUUGAUA